Long non-coding RNA from Poeciliopsis prolifica (blackstripe livebearer), 2487 nucleotides. RefSeq lists it as uncharacterized. The transcript is spliced from 5 exons. Lineage: Eukaryota; Metazoa; Chordata; Actinopteri; Cyprinodontiformes; Poeciliidae. The record is from RefSeq and is a predicted model, not a curated record.
GACAAUAUUAUUAACUUCUGUAUUUCUCUUACAGAUCAAUUAAAGACGGCAGGCCCAAGGAGGACGACCCGUGCCAGCGGGCAAACAAUUAUAUAACCUACAGCCUGGAGAUUUUGUGUUUCUUAAAAAUUUCAGGAAGAAGAACUGAUGACCCCAGUGAAGGUUGUGGAUUUUCUUAAAUCCACCUGGAUCCUCGCCAGCCAUUGGCGAGAAGUUCACUGGAAAUCGAAUCGCCCAGAAUCCCACCACGGGGAUUCCAACAAAGUAUCCCUGAAAAAAUAGGGAUACCACCAACGGCCCACUCAGUAGGUGGUCUACCUAGCUGAGGCAGCAUGGAGAACAUAGUCGGAAUGGGACAUCGCCGCAGAAAAACACCCACAUGGAUUAAGAAUGCCGUACUUCAUAACCCAUAACUCUCCUCAUGUUGAGAUUGAGAAUGUUUUUUUUAUUUCUAAUCGACUCAUUUUCUAAUAAUAAUCCCGCAGAUGAAGUUUGGAGCCAGUCUGCAGUGACUCUUCCUUCUGCUUUGACUGCUGCAGGUUCCUUUGUUGUCAUAUUUUCAGAUAUUCUGGGAUUUAUCUGCAGAAGACGUCCACAACGUGCCUGUCUAAAAGCUGAAACAUCCAGAUCGUCUGCACAAGGAGAAACUGCCACUGUAACAACAAGGACAUUGAGCCAGAGACUGCUUCCAGAGACGAUUCAAACCACAACCAGGUGGGUGAAGGUUGCACAGGGGCUGAGGAGGAAGAUUUGAUGGCAACCAGGGAAGCUUCCCCAGGGGGUCAAGGCUUUCGUUUCAGAGGUGGAUUUACAGGACAUCAUGGAGGGUAUUCCUCCUGACUAUACCAGGUUCUGUUGUAAUGCAAAUUUGACUCUGAAUUCUGAUGGUGUCCGUUUGUUUGUCUGUUUCAUGUUGGAGUGAAUGAUUGUUUACGUGUCAUUUUGUCUCAGUGUUCUGUGUUUUCAUGCGCAUGCGAAGAAGAUAAAAUCACAAUCUUAUUUGCAGGAUUUCCCAAACAUCGGAAAGGGACCACCAAUGAAACCUUGAAUUAUUUCAACAACAUGUAAUGACAACAUGAUUAACUUCUGUAUUUCUCUUGUAGAUCAAUUAAAGACUGCAGGCCCAAGGAGGACAACCCGUGCCAACGGGCAAACACUUAUAUAACCUACAGCCUGGAGAUUUUUUUUCUUAAAAUUUUCAGGAAGAAGAAUUGAUGACUGCAGUGAAGGUUGUGGAUUUUCUUAAAUCCACCUGGGUCCUCGCCAGCAAGUGGUGAGAAGUUCAAUGGGAAAUCGAAUCGCCCAGAAUCCCACCAAGGGGAUUCCAACAACGUAUCCCUGAAAAAAUAGGGAUACCACCGACGGCCCACUCAGUAGGUGGUCUACCUAGCUGAGGCAGCAUGGAGAACAUGGUCGGGAUGGGACAUCGCCGCAGAACAACACCCACGUGGAUUAAGGAUGCCGUACUUCAUAACCCAUAACUCUCCUGAUGUUGAGAUUGAGUUUUUGUCUUUGUAUUCUUUAGAAGUUCAACAUUUUCCAUUUUCUGGUUUUUGCUUUGCUUAACAUCAUCAGAAGACAAAACUCUUGCUAAAACUCCUGUGAUGCUUUUAUUCUGGACCAUUACUAAAUGACCAAUGUAGACUGAUGUGUUGUUUCUCUUCUAGCACUUUUUACUUCAUUUUAUACUUCAUUUGAUCAUUUCUAGGUUUUAUUUACUUAGUUAUUUGUUUGCUACCCACUAGAAAAAAAGGGUGAAGUUGUGAAGUAGAUUUUACUUUCCAGAGAAAAUCUUUUAUUUGCAUCAUAUAAAUAAUUAGCAUAGUCAAGAUGUUUUUUCAUGCAGCUGCAGAGAGGGUGUACAAACUAAUUGAACAAGAUGUCUGGGAACUUGCUGUUUUUCCAAUGAUUUUUUCUGAUGCAGUGUAUUUUUGCUCUCUGUCUGCAGAUGUAUUAAAGAUUGUUUUUGCUCCCUGAAGUUUGUCUGGACCUCGGUCUCUGAAUUGUGCAACUUCACAGUAUUUUUUCCAUCUCAGCACCACAGUUAAUGGCGGUGAACCACGUCUGGCUUCAACCACAAAAACCACAGCAGAAGAAAAAAAUGUGACAGAAGUUUGCUGAGCUCAUGUUCGGAACAUAAAACCAACUCCUCCAGGGAAUCUAUGAACCACGCAUGAACGUCAUGUCAGAGGAAAUCUAAGCUGUGAUUUCCUCUGUUCUAUCAAGAAACAGAGAACAGGAAGAGGCAUUUAGGAGCACAAUAAAUUUGGUUGGUUGAAUCAUUACUGUUACUGUAAACCCAUGUUGUGAAACAACCAUACGAUUACCAAGUAAAGCCAACUUGUCAGAUCAUUUCUUACAUCUUUUAUAGUUUGCAGAGACGUUACAAAGGAUUCUUGUGCACAAAGGUAUCAGUCAGGAGAAGGAUGCAAUGAAUACAAUAGCAUUAAAUUUUAAAGUAAUUGAAGAAGACAUGGGAUCGUCAAC